GAUGAACGCUGGCGGCGUGCCUAAUACAUGCAAGUCGAGCGAACAGAUGAGGAGCUUGCUCCUCUGACGUUAGCGGCGGACGGGUGAGUAACACGUGGAUAACCUACCUCUAAGACUGGGAUAACUUCGGGAAACCGGAGCUAAUACCGGAUCAUAUAUCGAACCGCAUGGUUCAAUAGUGAAAGACGCUUUUGCUGUCACUUAUAGAUGGUUCCGCGCCGCAUUAGCUAGUUGGUAAGGUAACGGCUUACCAAGGCAACGAUGCGUAGCCGACCUGAGAGGGUGAUCAGCCACACUGGAACUGAGACACGGUCCAGACUCCUACGGGAGGCAGCAGUGGGGAAUAUUCCACAAUGGGCGAAAGCCUGACGGAGCAACGCCGCGUGAGUGAAGAAGGUCUUCGGGUCGUAAAGCUCUUUUAUUAGGGAAGAACAAAUGUAUAAGAAACUAUGCACGUCUUGACGGUACCUAAAGAGAAAGCCACGGCUAACUACGUG
This 497-nucleotide ribosomal RNA is filed under the name uncultured bacterium. RNAcentral's name for it is "partial 16S ribosomal RNA". It matches the Rfam family "Bacterial small subunit ribosomal RNA", at positions 28 to 507 of the family's 1533-position model. The record is from RNAcentral.